RNAcentral lists this ribosomal RNA (253 nucleotides) under uncultured bacterium. RNAcentral's name for it is "partial 16S ribosomal RNA". It matches the Rfam family "Bacterial small subunit ribosomal RNA", at positions 524 to 776 of the family's 1533-position model. The record is from RNAcentral.
UACGGGGGGGGCAAGCGUUGUUCGGAUUCAUUGGGCGUAAAGGGUGCGUAGGCGGCGCGGCAAGUCGGGUGUGAAAUCUCGGGGCUUAACUCCGAAACUGCAUUCGAUACUGCCGUGCUUGAGGACUGGAGAGGAGACUGGAAUUUACGGUGUAGCGGUGAAAUGCGUAGAUAUCGUAAGGAAGACCAGUGGCGAAGGCGGGUCUCUGGACAGUUCCUGACGCUGAGGCACGAAGGUCAGGGGAGCAAACGGG